RNAcentral lists this transfer RNA (66 nucleotides) under Agapanthia amurensis. Its description in RNAcentral is "tRNA-Ile". The record is from RNAcentral. Lineage: Eukaryota; Metazoa; Arthropoda; Insecta; Coleoptera; Cerambycidae.
AAUGUACUCAAUACAUAUUAAUAAAAUAAGAUCUAAUUAUUCAAGUUAAUAAAAAUUAGUACAUUA